AGUGAACGCUGGCGGUAGGCCUAACACAUGCCAGUCGAACGGCAGCACAGUAAGAGCUUGCUCUUACGGGUGGCGAGUGGCGGACGGGUGAGGAGUACAUCGGAAUCUACUUUUUCGUGGGGGAUAACGUAGGGAAACUUACGCUAAUACCGCAUACGACCUACGGGUGAAAGCAGGGGAUCUUCGGACCUUGCGCGAUUGAAUGAGCCGAUGUCGGAUUAGCUAGUUGGCGGGGUAAAGGCCCACCAAGGCGACGAUCCGUAGCUGGUCUGAGAGGAUGAACAGCCACACUGGAACUGAGACACGGUCCAGACUCCUACGGGAGGCAGCAGUGGGGAAUAUUGGACAAUGGGCGCAAGCCUGAUCCAGCCAUACCGCGUGGGUGAAGAAGGCCUUCGGGUUGUAAAGCCCUUUUGUUGGGAAAGAAAAGCAGCAGGUUAAUACCCCGCUGUUCUGACGGUACCCAAAGAAUAAGCACCGGCUAACUUCGUG
Molecule: ribosomal RNA, 492 nt
Filed under: uncultured bacterium
Lineage: Bacteria
Description: partial 16S ribosomal RNA
Rfam family: Bacterial small subunit ribosomal RNA
Source: RNAcentral